This 72-nucleotide transfer RNA is filed under the name Anaeramoeba flamelloides. RNAcentral's name for it is "tRNA-Arg". It matches the Rfam family "tRNA". From Rfam's summary of the family: Transfer RNA (tRNA) molecules are approximately 80 nucleotides in length. Their secondary structure includes four short double-helical elements and three loops (D, anti-codon, and T loops). Further hydrogen bonds mediate the characteristic L-shaped molecular structure. tRNAs have two regions of fundamental functional importance: the anti-codon, which is responsible for specific mRNA codon recognition, and the 3' end, to which the tRNAs corresponding amino acid is attached (by aminoacyl-tRNA synthetases). tRNAs cope with the degeneracy of the genetic code in two manners: having more than one tRNA (with a specific anti-codon) for a particular amino acid; and 'wobble' base-pairing, i.e. permitting non-standard base-pairing at the 3rd anti-codon position. The record is from RNAcentral. Lineage: Eukaryota; Anaeramoebidae.
GGUCCUGUAGUUCAGUGGUAGAAUAUAUGAUUGCGGAUCAUAAGGUCGCAGGUUCGAGCCCUGCCUGGAUCG